This 448-nucleotide ribosomal RNA is filed under the name uncultured bacterium. RNAcentral's name for it is "partial 16S ribosomal RNA". It matches the Rfam family "Bacterial small subunit ribosomal RNA", at positions 338 to 795 of the family's 1533-position model. The record is from RNAcentral.
CCUACGGGGGGCUGCAGUGGGGAAUCUUGCGCAAUGGACGAAAGUCUGACGCAGCGACGCCGCGUGAGUGAUGAAGGCCUUCGGGUUGUAAAGCUCUGUGGGGAGAGACGAAUAAGGUGCAGUUAAUAUCUGCAUCGAUGACGGUACCUCCUUAGCAAGCACCGGCUAACUCUGUGCCCGCAGCCGCGGUAAGACAGAGGGUGCAAACGUGGUUCGGGAUCGCUGGGCGUAAAAGAUAAGUCGGAUGUCAAAGCCCCGGGCUCAACCUGGGAAGUGCAUUCGAUACUGUUUGACUUGAGUACUGGAGAGGUUGGUGGAAUUCUCGGUGUAGAGGUGAAAUUCGUAGAUAUCGGGAAGAACAUCUGUGGCGAAGGCGGCCAACUGGACAGAUACUGACGCUGAGACACGAAAGCGUGGGGAGCAAACAGGAUUAGAUACCCCGGUAGUC